AAACGAUGCCACCAGCAAUCCGCCUGAGUUCUUUAAAUGACUCGGCGGGCGGCUUCCGGGAAACCAAAGUUUUUCGGUUCCGGGGGAAGUAUGGUUGCAAAGCUGAAACUUAAAGGAAUUGACGGAAGGGCACCACCAGGAGUGGAGCCUGCGGCUUAAUUUGACUCAACACGGGAAAACUCACCCGGCCCGGACACUGGAAGGAUUGACAGAUUGAGAGCUCUUUCUUGAUUCAGUGGGUGGUGGUGCAUGGCCGUUCUUAGUUGGUGGAGCGAUUUGUCUGGUUAAUUCCGAUAACGAACGAGACUCUAGCCUACUAAAUAGACCACCGGCUUCUUUGUACGUCGGUGGGACUUCUUAGAGGGACUGGCGGCGGUUCAGCCGCACGAAACAGAGCAAUAACAGGUCUGUGAUGCCCUUAGAUGUCCGGGGCCGCACGCGCGCUACACUGAAGUGAUCAGCGUGCUUUCCAAUCCUGCUCUGCUAAGAGUGGGUAACCCAAUGAACCUUCUUCGUGAUUGGGAUAGGGGAUUGUAAUUAUUCCCCUUGAACGAGGAAUUCCCAGUAAGCGCGAGUCAUCAGCUCGCGUUGAUUACGUCCCUGCCCUUUGUACACACCGCCCGUCGCUACUACCGAUUGAAUGAUUUAGUGAGGUCUUCGGACUGGCUGGCGAGGCUGCCUCGGUGGCCACGCUAUGUUUGGAAAGAUGCCCAAACUUGAUCAUUUAGAGGAAGUAAAAGUCGUAACAAGGUUUCCGUAGUGACCUGCGGAGAUC
This 775-nucleotide ribosomal RNA is filed under the name uncultured eukaryote. RNAcentral describes it as "SSU rRNA". It matches the Rfam family "Eukaryotic small subunit ribosomal RNA", at positions 1034 to 1827 of the family's 1831-position model. The record is from RNAcentral.